This is a non-coding RNA of Alexandromys fortis (reed vole), 2262 nucleotides long. Lineage: Eukaryota; Metazoa; Chordata; Mammalia; Rodentia; Cricetidae. The record is from the annotation of a RefSeq genome assembly.
AUUCCAACUAUGUGAUUAUAAUUGAAAGUUGACUUGUUUCUGUAGGAGGGGGUGUGGCAUGCUAACUCUGCAAUUCAAGCAUUUGUUGGAGACAGUGACAUCACUAAGUCACUGAGAGCCUUAGCUCUAGUUUCCAGAAACAGGGCUGAAAGACAUCAGAUCUUGCUUUGGUUCUGAGAUGAACUUCAGGCUCUUCUGUGUGGCCUUGAGUCUCCUGUGUGCAAAACACAUGGAGGCUGCAGUCACCCAAAGCCCAAGGAGCAAGGUGACAGUAACAGGAGGAAAGGUGGAACUAAGCUGUCACCAGACGGAUAACCACAACAACAUGUACUGGUAUCGGCAGGACCUGGGUCAUGGACUGAGGCUCAUCCAUUACUCGUAUGGUGCUGGCAGCACAGAGAAAGGAGAUGUCCCUGAUGGGUACGAUGUCAUCAGAUCAAGGACAGAGACCUUCUCUCUCAUUCUGGAGAAAACUUCCCCUUCUCAGACAUCUGUGUACUUCUGUGCCAGCAGUGAUACACAUCAGUGUGUGGCUGCCUCCUCUCUGCACAGAAAGUAAACUAGGAAGUCAAAAUGCCUGUGUGCCCCAGGAAGUCCCUGUCUCUGUAGGAGUCAAUGAGCUCUGACAAACUUGGAACAUUUCAGCAUGGGUCUCAGCCUCACUGAAGUCUACUCUAACAGCUUUUAAUCGCUGCUUGGCUCAUCCCCACCCCUUGUUCCCCUUUCUGAGAGGAAGGUAAAUCUUUCUGUUUUGUUUUUUAGUGACAAUUUCUCCAUGUAAUAGUCUUGGAACUCAAAUUGUAGACCAGGCUGGCCAGAAAUUUGCAGAGAUCCACCUGCCUCUGCCUCCCUAGUGCUAGGAUUGAAUGCCUGUGCUACCAAUCCUAGCCCAGCUGAAAACGAAUCCUUAAAUGUAGUUUCUUAUGACCCAUUUGAUAAAGUCAUAGCCACCAUCUCCCUCCCUGUACCUUCAGUGAACUCGUCAGCCACUCUGCCAUCCAACUGAAUCUCUUAUAUAAUCUCUAACCAGGCUGUGUUUGCUCCAUAGGUCAGUAGCAAAUAGCCCAUAAGGUCUUAUAUCAUUGUCUUUACUCUAUUAUCAACCUUUAUGCAGCCUCCAUAGGUUCUUUCUCUCCAGCUGAACAUGACUACAUUCCAUUAUUUCCUCAUGUGCACUGUGCAGUUUUCAACCCUAGAGAUGUUCUUCUAGUACAUUCCUCCUAGACUGAAGACACAGUUUUCCCUUUUGUUCUGGAUCUCUUCUUCCCAUGAAAAUAUCUUUCUGGUUGGAUGAUUUUCCUUUCAUUUUUUAAAGAUUUUAAUUUAAUUACAUUAUUUCUUCCCUCCUUCUCCCUCUAGUUUCUCACAUGAUUAUCUCCUCUUUCAAAUUCAUAUCCUCAUAUUUUUUAAUUAUUAUUUUUUGUUUGCUUUUUGUGUGGUAUGCUUCAAUAAAUUAAUUCAACCUGCUGAAUCUAUUUAAUGUCUCUAAUAUUUAUACUUUUAGGAAUGCCUGCCUGUGAUUGGUUAACCAUGUAAGAGUCUGUGGUAGUUUGAAUGUAAUUUCCCCUAUAAGUUCAUAGGGAGUUGUACUAUUAGGAGUUGUUGUUGUUGUUGAAGUAGAUGUGACCUUAAGGGACUAUCUCUCAUUGUGAAAAAAGUUAGAGUUCUAAAAGUGCUUUGAUAUCAGAUAUGGAGAGGCAAUAUUUGGACUUUGCUCAGCUGGUUUUCAGUCUUGCUCAAAUCUAAGACUUCCUCACUAUUCUCUUUUCCCUUUGUUUUGUAACAGUAAUGUAUAUCCUGUAUCAUUGUGUGUUGGAAGUAUGUGACCUGAGUUUUUGAUUUUGAUUUUAUAGGGGACUAGAGUGAAGAAAUUGCAUGAAUCUUAGGACUGACUUUGAACUUUAGAUUUUUAAACAUUAUUAAGACUGUGAUAGAUUAUAGGGAUUUUGGAAGUUGAACUGCAUAUAUUUUGAAUUAUGACAUAUUCACAGGCUUAUGGGGACCAGGGAGUCGAAUGCUGCAAUUUGAAUGUAAAUGACCCCCCUUCAGUACAUAGGGAGUGGCAUUAAUGCUUGGAGGUGUGGCUUUGUUGAAGUAACUGUAGCCUUACUGGAGGAAGUGUGUCACUGUAUGGAUGGGUUUUAACGUCUCCUAUGUUCAACCUUAACUCAGUGUGAUACUCAAUUCAUUUCCUGUUGCCUUUGUAUCAAGAUGUAGCCAUCACGAUGUCUGCCUGCAUGCCACCAUGUUGUACCAUGAUGA